This is a long non-coding RNA of Equus caballus (horse), 2296 nucleotides long. Lineage: Eukaryota; Metazoa; Chordata; Mammalia; Perissodactyla; Equidae. The record is from Ensembl.
GAAGGGGCUUCAGUGGGAGGAAGGGUGGUGAUUACACAGUGAGGGCACUUUCUCCUUCAGAAGAUCUAGAACUGGGUCUGCCAAAAAGAAGCAUAGGCUCCAUGAACAUCCUGCCAAGGGGUAGGAUGCGUGAAAGAAGGAAGGUGAAAGUCCUGCUUACUCUGGGUAUUCGGACCACAUGGGGGACAUUGCCUUUACUCAGGAUGGUCAUGUGACUCAAAUCCAUAACAAACUCAGUGUGUUGAAGAAACAGGGAUAUUUGGCCCAGUGAAGACUUAGAGGCCAAGGAUUCACUGUUAUUAUAAGAAAGGAUGCAUUCCCCUUUCUAGAGUUGAUGUCCAAUGAACAGGUGGCCCAAGGAGGUAGUGAGUUCCCCAUCCCUGGAGGAAUGGGAACAGAAAUUGCCUAACUACUUGGUGGGGAUGUGGAGAAGGAACAAAGCGUGUGCUGAAGGUUGGACAGUUGACACUCAAGCUUCCUCCCAGGCCUGGGCUUUUAGGAGAUUUUCCCAACACCAGCCUCUGCUUUCAGCAGCCAGCUGCCUUCUGGAUGAAUCAAAAGCCCGCCCAACUCUGGCUUCCUCACUGGGUGGGGCUCCAAGGGAGCCGCCAAGGCCUCCCACUCCCACUGUACGGGGGCCACUGCAUUCACAGCCUCUGGGGUGCCUCUUGCAGCCACCACCCUCCUGGAGUCAGGAACUGAAUAAAUUGGUUAAACAAGGAAAACACACCCACAGAAAGAGAGGGAGACUUAGUCUGAAAUGAGAAAUGCCGUCUUGCUUGGGUCUUUUAUCAUAAGCCCACAGAGACGAAUAUUCUGACCUAAUAAUCAAAACAGGCUGUAAUUGCAAACAGACUCUCAAGGCUGUGCAGCCAAAGAGAGAGCAGAUGAGAUACCUGCUGAGCACAGCAGGCCCGACCCAGCUGGCCCACCUCCCACCAGCCGAGGAUCAAUGCGGCUGGCCAGCCGCGCACCAUUUUGCUGGCCUGGCUUGAUGGAGGCCUGCUCACAGUCUGCCUUCCUCCAGGGGCCCAGGGCACCCUUUGCAGGGGAACGUGCUGAGAGGAAGCCAGUCCCUACCCACAUCCAGAGAGAAAGGUGGUUAAAUACCCAGCAGGAUCGUGGAAGAUCACAAGGAGGAGGGAAGGAGGCUUUGCUCCCACCUCUCCUGAACUCUACCUCCUCUUGGCUCUGGAAGAUGUUCUUCUGGGUACACCACCAAAGCUGGAAGAUCUUCCUGUCCCCACCCUGCUCCCACCUCCCUUUUGUGUUUUGUUUCAGGCACACCCUCGGCUCAAAUUUGCUUUGAAGGUCAGUAAUUUUUACUUCUUUUCAAAACAACUGCACAUUUCUUCUGGCACCCAAAUGCUGAUUCUCUGCACUGAAGAAUGUCUCCCUCAACAACAGCUUCGCACCCCUUUGCUGGUCCCUACCUCAAGAGCGGAGCCAAGUGAUGGCUGUGGAAAGGUGACAGAUGGAGGGGUUUGGUGACAGUUGUUUCCACAUCUUACUUAGUGACUAUAAAAAAAUAGCUGGAAAUCGAAUGUUUGGUUUUUAAACUAAGUCAAAAUGUCUCUUUAUCAAAAGGGCUGUGUCAAACAAAACAUGGAAUCAAAAGCAGUUACAAUUUCAGGCACCUACAGGACAUGCAGGGGUGGAGGUGCCACCAUUAUGGAGAUGUGGUUCUGUCUGCAUGCCUAGGAAGCUAAUUCUCUAGGAACCCAGUAGGCCUCAGGUCCUGGAGGCCAGCUCCUCUUGGCCACGUGCAAGAGCAAAAGCACGGCAGAUGAGAUGCUCGCCCUGAGGAAGGCGGUGAGCAGGCACUGGCUGGGGUGGAGACAAUCAUCCUGAUUCUUCAGUCAGCUACAUCUCCCUCUCAGUGAGCACACGCCCGUCGACUCCCAAGAUCAGAUGGAAGCUCAGAUGCUAGGGAGCCCAGAGAGCUUUCCAACGGACGUUUCCCUAAAGCAAAUGGGCUAGAGGAACCAUAAGAUUGGGCUGGUCUACCUGCCUCUCAUGACCUAGCGGGAGUCGAAGAGGCUGAGUGCCCUUCUCAGAGCCAUAGAGCCAGUGAAGGGCCAAGAUAGAUGGGACUCAAGACCCUGGCUCAGCACCCACUGCUUCUCACCACACCGCCAGCCCCCGGGCCAUUGUGCAUUGAACCCUGAUGGCACCCUGCCAGCUCCCAGCCGGCCUUUGUUCCCUGGCUACGCUGAACACCCCCAAGGCCCCGCCUGAGGUGCCCUGAGAGGAGCCGCCUGCUGACAGCUACUUGGGUCCUUGCACCUGAAGAAAG